RNAcentral lists this ribosomal RNA (1506 nucleotides) under metagenome. Its description in RNAcentral is "bacterial SSU rRNA". It matches the Rfam family "Bacterial small subunit ribosomal RNA". The record is from RNAcentral.
AGAGUUUGAUCCUGGCUCAGGACGAACGCUGGCGGCGUGCCUAAUACAUGCAAGUAGAACGCUGAAGAGAGGAGCUUGCUCUUCUUGGAUGAGUUGCGAACGGGUGAGUAACGCGUAGGUAACCUGCCUUGUAGCGGGGGAUAACUAUUGGAAACGAUAGCUAAUACCGCAUAACAAUGGAUGACACAUGUCAUUUAUUUGAAAGGGGCAAUUGUUCCACUACAAGAUGGACCUGCGUUGUAUUAGCUAGUAGGUGAGGUAAUGGCUCACCUAGGCGACGAUACAUAGCCGACCUGAGAGGGUGAUCGGCCACACUGGGACUGAGACACGGCCCAGACUCCUACGGGAGGCAGCAGUAGGGAAUCUUCGGCAAUGGGGGCAACCCUGACCGAGCAACGCCGCGUGAGUGAAGAAGGUUUUCGGAUCGUAAAGCUCUGUUGUAAGUCAAGAACGGGUGUGAGAGUGGAAAGUUCACACUGUGACGGUAGCUUACCAGAAAGGGACGGCUAACUACGUGCCAGCAGCCGCGGUAAUACGUAGGUCCCGAGCGUUGUCCGGAUUUAUUGGGCGUAAAGCGAGCGCAGGCGGUUUGAUAAGUCUGAAGUUAAAGGCUGUGGCUCAACCAUAGUUCGCUUUGGAAACUGUCAAACUUGAGUGCAGAAGGGGAGAGUGGAAUUCCAUGUGUAGCGGUGAAAUGCGUAGAUAUAUGGAGGAACACCGGUGGCGAAAGCGGCUCUCUGGUCUGUAACUGACGCUGAGGCUCGAAAGCGUGGGGAGCGAACAGGAUUAGAUACCCUGGUAGUCCACGCCGUAAACGAUGAGUGCUAGGUGUUGGAUCCUUUCCGGGAUUCAGUGCCGCAGCUAACGCAUUAAGCACUCCGCCUGGGGAGUACGACCGCAAGGUUGAAACUCAAAGGAAUUGACGGGGGCCCGCACAAGCGGUGGAGCAUGUGGUUUAAUUCGAAGCAACGCGAAGAACCUUACCAGGUCUUGACAUCCCGAUGCUAUUUCUAGAGAUAGAAAGUUACUUCGGUACAUCGGUGACAGGUGGUGCAUGGUUGUCGUCAGCUCGUGUCGUGAGAUGUUGGGUUAAGUCCCGCAACGAGCGCAACCCCUAUUGUUAGUUGCCAUCAUUCAGUUGGGCACUCUAGCGAGACUGCCGGUAAUAAACCGGAGGAAGGUGGGGAUGACGUCAAAUCAUCAUGCCCCUUAUGACCUGGGCUACACACGUGCUACAAUGGUUGGUACAACGAGUUGCGAGUCGGUGACGGCGAGCUAAUCUCUUAAAGCCAAUCUCAGUUCGGAUUGUAGGCUGCAACUCGCCUACAUGAAGUCGGAAUCGCUAGUAAUCGCGGAUCAGCACGCCGCGGUGAAUACGUUCCCGGGCCUUGUACACACCGCCCGUCACACCACGAGAGUUUGUAGCACCCGAAGUCGGUGAGGUAACCUUUUGGAGCCAGCCGCCUAAGGUGGGACAGAUGAUUGGGGUGAAGUCGUAACAAGGUA